AUGAGCAAGAGGCGAGCCGUCCUGUUGUUACGGGAAAGAUUCCGGUCCUGUUUCCUGGCGCACCGCGGCGACCGGCCGACGAGCAUCCACCGCCUCCAAGCCGCCUCUCCUCACUGCAGCAGCGUAGCGACUUCUUCCUCCAGCUGCAGAGCCUCUCCGCAUCAAGAGUUCCUUGCCAUGGAGCAUGGACUGUGGUCGAGCGGAGCUAGCGACAAGAACAAGGCCAUGGUUGAGCAACUGCAGAGAUAUGGGGUAAUCAAGUCGAGCAAAGUUGCGGAGGUCAUGGAGACCAUCGAUAGGGGGCUGUUUGUGCCUCAGGGUGGUUCUCCCUAUUUUGAUAGCCCAAUGGCAAUUGGCUACAAUGCAACCAUAUCUGCGCCUCACAUGCAUGCUGCUUGCCUGGAGCUCCUGGAGGAUCAUCUGCAGCCUGGUAUGCGGGCUCUGGAUGUUGGAUCAGGCACUGGGUACCUAACAGCUUGCUUUGCACUUAUGGUUGGACCGGGAGGACGAGCAGUUGGUGUUGAACACAUACCAGAGUUGGUUGCUUCUUCUGCCGAAAACAUCAAGAAAAGUGCAGCAGCCCCACAGCUGAAUGAUGGAUCCCUCAGUAUUCAUAUUGCUGAUGGUAGGGAAGGCUGGCCCGAGCUUGCACCAUAUGACUGCAUCCAUGUCGGAGCUGCAGCACCGCAGAUUCCAGAGGCGUUAAUCGAGCAGCUGAAGCCUGGUGGCAGAAUGGUGAUCCCGGUUGGGACCAUCUUCCAGGAGCUGAAGGUGGUUGACAAGAAGCUAGACGGCGGUGUCAGCAUAAGAGACGAGACGUCUGUGCGCUAUGUGCCUCUCACCAGCAAGGAUGCCCAGUUGCACUCGAAUUGA
RNAcentral lists this ribosomal RNA (873 nucleotides) under Triticum aestivum (bread wheat). Its description in RNAcentral is "partial small subunit ribosomal RNA". Lineage: Eukaryota; Viridiplantae; Streptophyta; Magnoliopsida; Poales; Poaceae. The record is from RNAcentral.